RNAcentral lists this ribosomal RNA (254 nucleotides) under uncultured bacterium. Its description in RNAcentral is "partial 16S ribosomal RNA". It matches the Rfam family "Bacterial small subunit ribosomal RNA", at positions 524 to 776 of the family's 1533-position model. The record is from RNAcentral.
UGCAGAGGGUGCGAGCGUUGAUCGGAGUUACUGGGCGUAAAGGGCGCGCAGGCGGUCGCGUAAGUCUGCUGUGAAAUCUCCCUGGCUCAACCGGGAGGGGGCGGCGGAGACUGCGGGACUGGAGGGACCUAGAGGCCGGUGGAAUUCCCGGUGUAGUGGUGAAAUGCGUAGAGAUCGGGAGGAACACCUGUGGCGAAGGCGAUCACCUGGGGUUGUUCUGACGCUGAGGAGCGAAAGCUAGGGGAGCAAACGGG